AUGAUGGAGGCGGCCGCGGCGACGAUGCUGGAGGCCGGAGUGGGGCGGUUCCGGGGGCCGAGCCUCGCGGCGCUGCUUGCGGAGAUGUGGGCGCCGCUGGCCGUGGCGCUGGCGGCGCUCGCGACGCUGCCCAGCCUGCUCGGCAGGCUGCAGGUGCUCAUCCUCCGCCUCCGCUCCCGCGGGAAGGAGGUCAUCUCCUCGCACAUCUCCACCUACUACUCCUCCGGCGACGACGAGUCGGACUCCGACGGCGAGGGCGAGGACGAGGACGAGAGCUCCGAUGAGGCGGCCACCAGCUCGUCCGGCGAGGAGGAGGAGGCCGUGAGGAGGAUCGGGUACUUCGAGGGCGCCGCCGACGGCCUCGACGGCUGCUUCCCGUGGGGCGGCGCCGUCGUGCGGACGUGGCAGGACCUGCCGCGGCGGUUCUCCGCCGUCGGCUGCGGGGGAGGAGCCAGGUUCCCUUCCGGAGGGCGUGUCCAGGCGGUGAGGCUGUGGGGCGCCAGCACGGCGAGCGGGGAGGGAAGUGGCCAGGCGUGGUGGGACGCCGAUGACAGCGGCCGUGGGGCGGCCGCAGAGGCGGCGCCGGUGGUCCUCGGGUGGCGGCGCGAGCACGCGAUGCGGAGGCGGCAGCGGCCCCUCCGCAUCCUGCCCUCGGAGCAGUAA
Molecule: ribosomal RNA, 663 nt
Filed under: Triticum aestivum (bread wheat)
Lineage: Eukaryota; Viridiplantae; Streptophyta; Magnoliopsida; Poales; Poaceae
Description: partial small subunit ribosomal RNA
Source: RNAcentral